GCCGGUGUAGCUCAGUCGGUAGAGCAACUGACUUGUAAUCAGUGGGUCAGGGGUUCGAAUCCCCUCGCCGGCU
Molecule: transfer RNA, 73 nt
Filed under: Chloroflexota bacterium
Lineage: Bacteria; Bacillati; Chloroflexota
Description: tRNA-Thr
Rfam family: tRNA
About the family: Transfer RNA (tRNA) molecules are approximately 80 nucleotides in length. Their secondary structure includes four short double-helical elements and three loops (D, anti-codon, and T loops). Further hydrogen bonds mediate the characteristic L-shaped molecular structure. tRNAs have two regions of fundamental functional importance: the anti-codon, which is responsible for specific mRNA codon recognition, and the 3' end, to which the tRNAs corresponding amino acid is attached (by aminoacyl-tRNA synthetases). tRNAs cope with the degeneracy of the genetic code in two manners: having more than one tRNA (with a specific anti-codon) for a particular amino acid; and 'wobble' base-pairing, i.e. permitting non-standard base-pairing at the 3rd anti-codon position.
Source: RNAcentral